Molecule: ribosomal RNA, 253 nt
Filed under: uncultured bacterium
Lineage: Bacteria
Description: partial 16S ribosomal RNA
Rfam family: Bacterial small subunit ribosomal RNA
Source: RNAcentral
UACGUAGGUGGCAAGCGUUGUCCGGAUUUAUUGGGUUUAAAGGGUGCGUAGGCGGCUUUGUAAGUCAGUGGUGAAAUAUGGCAGCUCAACUGUCAAGGUGCCAUUGAUACUGCGGAGCUUGAGUACAGAUGAGGUAGGCGGAAUUGACGGUGUAGCGGUGAAAUGCUUAGAUAUCGUAAGGAAGACCAGUGGCGAAGGCGGGUCUCUGGACAGUUCCUGACGCUGAGGCACGAAGGUCAGGGGAGCAAACGGG